This 164-nucleotide ribosomal RNA is filed under the name uncultured bacterium. RNAcentral's name for it is "partial 16S rRNA". It matches the Rfam family "Bacterial small subunit ribosomal RNA", at positions 356 to 511 of the family's 1533-position model. The record is from RNAcentral.
UAGGAAUCUUCCACAAUGGACGCAAGUCUGAUGGAGCAACGCCGCGUGAGUGAAGAAGGUCUUCGGAUCGUAAAACUCUGUUGUUAGAGAAGAACGUGUGUGAGAGUGGAAAGUUCACACAGUGACGGUAACUUACCAGAAAGGGACGGCUAACUACGUGCCAG